RNAcentral lists this non-coding RNA (24 nucleotides) under Arabidopsis thaliana (thale cress). The record is from RNAcentral. Lineage: Eukaryota; Viridiplantae; Streptophyta; Magnoliopsida; Brassicales; Brassicaceae.
AUCAUCACUUUAGCAUUUGCCAUG